AGUGUGUGUGUGUCCAACUCUUCCUCACAGGUUAGUUAAUGACAGACAGUCAGUGAGUGUGUCUGUGUCCAACUCUUCCUCACAGGUUAGUUAAUGACAGACAGUCAGUGAGUGUGUCUGUGUCCAACUCUUCCUCACAGGUUAGUUAAUGACAGACAGUCAGUGAGUGUGUCUGUGUCCAACUCUUCCUCACAGGUUAGUUAAUGACAGACAGUCAGUGAGUGUGUGUGUGUCCAACUCUUCCUCACAGGUUAGUUAAUGACAGACAGUCAGUGAGUGUGUCUGUGUCCAACUCUUCCUCACAGGUUAGUUAAUGAUGUUACUGAGUCAAUGUGAGCAGAUUGUGUCUGUAGACUGAAGAGAAUCAGAGUCUCACUGAUGGUGGAAAUAAAGGUUUUACUUCCUUAAAACA
Molecule: long non-coding RNA, 412 nt
Organism: Dicentrarchus labrax (European seabass)
Lineage: Eukaryota; Metazoa; Chordata; Actinopteri; Moronidae
Exons: 2
Source: RefSeq, a predicted model, not a curated record